GUCGAGAAUCUUUCACAAUGGGGGCAACCCUGAUGGAGCGACGCCGCGUGGAGGAUAAGGUCUUCGGAUUGUAAACUCCUGUCAUGCGUGAGCAAGGUUGCAGGGAUAAUACCUCUGCAAAUUGAUAGUAUCGCAAGAGGAAGAGACGGCUAACUCUGUGCCAGCAGCCGCGGUAAUACAGAGGUCUCAAGCGUUGUUCGGAAUCACUGGGCGUAAAGGGUGCGUAGGUGGCGUGGUAAGUCAGAUGUGAAAGCCCGGGGCUCAACCUCGGAACUGCAUCCGAUACUGCCAUGCUAGAGUACUGGAGAGGUGACUAGAAUUCUCGGUGUAGCAGUGAAAUGCGUAGAUAUCGAGAGGAAUACCAAAGGCGUAGGCAGGUCACUGGACAGUUACUGACACUGAGGCACGAAGGCCAGGGGAGCGAACGGGAUUAGAAACCCUUGUAGUCC
This 449-nucleotide ribosomal RNA is filed under the name uncultured bacterium. RNAcentral's name for it is "partial 16S ribosomal RNA". It matches the Rfam family "Bacterial small subunit ribosomal RNA", at positions 354 to 796 of the family's 1533-position model. The record is from RNAcentral.